GACGUAGGGUGCAAGCGUUGUCCGGAUUUAUUGGGCGUAAAGAGCUCGUAGGCGGCUUGUUGCGUCGACUGUGAAAACCCGCGGCUUAACCGCGGGCUUGCAGUUGAUACGGGCAGGCUAGAGUUCGGUAGGGGAGACUGGAAUUCCUGGUGUAGCGGUGAAAUGCGCAGAUAUCAGGAGGAACACCGGUGGCGAAGGCGGCUCACUGGACCGGUACUGACGCUGAUGCGCGAAAGCGUGGGGAGCAAACGGG
RNAcentral lists this ribosomal RNA (253 nucleotides) under uncultured bacterium. RNAcentral describes it as "partial 16S ribosomal RNA". It matches the Rfam family "Bacterial small subunit ribosomal RNA", at positions 524 to 776 of the family's 1533-position model. The record is from RNAcentral.